Molecule: unclassified non-coding RNA, 217 nt
Filed under: Hevea brasiliensis (rubber tree)
Lineage: Eukaryota; Viridiplantae; Streptophyta; Magnoliopsida; Malpighiales; Euphorbiaceae
Source: RNAcentral
AAACAGACUGAGGAGAAGGUAAAGUUAAUCAAAGCCAAUCUGAAAGUUGCCUCAGAUACACAGAAAUCUUAUGCCGACUUAAUGAGAAAAGAGAUAGAGUAUGAAGUUGGAGAUAAGGUGUUUCUCAAAGUCUCACCAUGGAAAAAUGUAUUGAUGUUUAGAAGAAAGGGUAAGUUGAGCCCUAAGUUCAUUAGCCCAUAUGAAGUCAUUGAACGUG